This 164-nucleotide ribosomal RNA is filed under the name uncultured bacterium. Its description in RNAcentral is "partial 16S rRNA". It matches the Rfam family "Bacterial small subunit ribosomal RNA", at positions 355 to 511 of the family's 1533-position model. The record is from RNAcentral.
UAGGGAAUCUUCCACAAUGGGCGAAAGCCUGAUGGAGCAACGCCGCGUGUGUGAUGAAGGGUUCCGGCUCGUAAAACACUGUUGUAAGAGAAGAAUGACAUUGAGAGUAACUGUUCAAUGUGUGACGGUAUCUUACCAGAAAGGAACGGCUAAAUACGUGCCGG